UUCUCACCCGCCUCUUUAUCCCCCGCCCGCACAUCUAGAUAUAGCCAGAGAAGGCAGUGAUGCCUUCUACAUGAGUAAAUGUGUGUGGGAGGUGGGGAAGAGAGGGAAGAUUGUAAGCCAACUCUACUACCUUGGAAGCAAAAAUCAUUAAAAAAAAAUCAAUGAGACUUCUGCCUAAACAUAUUUAGGCUUGAGCUGUAAGCCUACCUGGGUGAUUCAUAUUACUCUGCAACAGCAAUAUUCUUUAAAGGGUGGACCUGGAUGUGGACUACGCUUACUGCCAUUUUGAAGGACAACACUGAAAAUGAGGAGAAAGAAGCUGGCAGACAGUGCCAUCGCCUACCCUUCUUGUAAAUAAGGAGGACACACAGGGACAGACUGAAGCUGGCUGAGGGGCAGACAAGCUGGUGGACCAGUGGCCCAUUCCUCCUAACGGACCACUGCGUUGAACAAAGAUGGAGGUUUUAAAGCAACAAGUCUGUUGAUCUUACGUCUUCCGUUCAAGUCUGUUCUGUCUUUUUGAUUGGGCUUUCAGUUAGGGUUGAGUGAAUUUACCCAGUUCCAAUUUGUUCCAUCAUUCUGCUAUGCUUUAGGUUCUGCUCUGGUUACUGUCUGGCAAGAAUUUUUUUGAAGAAAUGGAAUACAUGCAUG
Molecule: long non-coding RNA, 651 nt
Organism: Rhineura floridana
Lineage: Eukaryota; Metazoa; Chordata; Lepidosauria; Squamata; Rhineuridae
Exons: 3
Source: RefSeq, a predicted model, not a curated record